CUAAAAGCUAGAAGGCCACAGCUAGAGGAACAAGUUCACAGAUGGGUGCUUGAACAACGUGCCGCUGGGAGAGGCUUGUCAACAGUUCAGUUACACCUCCACGCCCAGGUAGUUGCCAAGGAGAUGAAGUUCAGUGACUUUGCGGGAGGUCCUUCUUGGUGUUACCGCUUCAUGCAGCGCAACCGCCUCUUCAUCAGAGCACGGACAUCGAUGUCCCAAAAACUGCCAGCAGACUUCCAAGCCAAGAUCGACAGCUUCCACGUAUCCGUGUGCAAGAACCUAUGGUAGGCAGCGGAGGAGAUGAUGGUGGAGCUACAAACUAGACGGCUGGCCAGUGACCAAUGUUCAAGACGUUUCAUUUUUGCUGACUUUUUGGAGCGAGAAGUUGGGACAUCACUAGUCGUGUUUGUAGCAGCCAAAUCAGGAAGUGCUCAGAUCUCAUGGAAAUGCAGCAUGACACCCUGAGCUGACUUAAUAUCUCUUUAAAGGGUCACAAGCCAAAAAGGUUUAUAUAAACAGCAGCAGAUGAACGCUUCCUGGAGUGAAGCUGACUUAUCAACACGACAGAGCCUCUUCGCCUUUAUGAUCCUCUCUGUAUGUCGUGUGCAGUGACAUUCGCUGUCAUUACAAUAUAUUUAUCCGGGCCUGCCAACAUGGGAACUUGCUCAGAGCUCUUUUAAUGUACUUCUGCAGAGCCACGGAGAUGCUACGUGGUGAUAUAUCUUUCAACUUUCUUGAGGAGAUCUCCUUCUGUGACCUUGUCUCUCACAAUAACCAGUGUCUCUUAUUCGGCUGCACACUCUCUUUGUUUUGAAGUCGUGAUCUUCCUGUAACCUUAGCGGCACAGAGCUGGGCAAAUCAAACAAAGAGAGCUUAGUCAUCCUUUCAGCUCCCUUAAGUCUUCAGUGACAGCCCCGCGGCAGCGCAGACUCAAAGACAGAGACCGAUGCUAAUUAGCGCAUCGCUAACAUGCACAGAUAUGUCACGCACAGUUUGCCCUGUGACCUCUUACAUUUUAACCUGUAACAUUGGAAAUUUAAGAAAUGCACUGGCAUCAGUUGCAGCUUCUUUUGACGAAAAUGUUUUUUGUUUUUUUUGUUUUUUGCUCCACGUCACAUCACAUCUUGCUGUGUUUGCAUGAUGAGUGUGGUGGGCAGCGACUUGCUGCAGAGCAUGACACUGGGUUAUGCAAGGUAAUUUACUCCGAUCUGGGGCCUUCCAUGCAAGCACCAGGGAGAGUUACAGUUACCUUAUCUCCCAAAUCACUUAAAACACAGCAGCGGCGCCGGGGAUUCAAUUCACCCUCAAUUCAAUUAAACUGCGAACUGAAACUUCUCCUGGUGAUUAUCAACCGUUCAUUCUCAAAUGACUCUUUCAGAGACUGAAUUAUAAGAAGUGUCACUGAGAAAGAACUGAGAGAAUGAAGUUCCUUGAGCGAGAGAAACAUUUCAAAAGCCUCUGUUUUUUUUCCCUUGCCAGUUAAAAUGAACCUAACAACAUCAAAGCUCUGGUCUUGAUCACAAAACAUCACAACAAACUGCACGGGGAACUUAAGAAACUAAAGUCAUGCUGCAGACUCCGUAAAGCUGUAAUUAGGCACAGGAGCUUUGAGCUGAACGGUAAAAUGAGAAACUUUUUUUCAACCCCGGCAGUUCAGGUGCCGAUCCGGGACCAGUGCCUACUCCAGAACCAGUUCUUCAGGUUUCAACAACCAAAUGACUUUUAACAUUUUUAAAUAAUGUUACUAAAAGAUUAAAUGUAAGUAACAUGAUUGAAUGUAUAUUUUACAUAGUUAUUUUAACCUUUACCUUGUACGGUUUAUUGCCUAAACCUUACAAAUCCGUGAUCAUUUCAUAUUAACUGUUUAUAAAUAAAACAGUCGACAAGCUUUAUUUUGAAAGCCUAACCAGACGUUGCACGGGUAUUAUUGCUACCUUGAUCGCAGAGCCAUUCACAUGCAAAACAGUGUCAUAGUUUAAAGCUGACUAGUUGGUUGUAUUUGAUGAGUUAAGAGUGAGGAUGCAUUCAUUCAAUAACAUUUUUUGGCCAGAUCAAUGACCCCCAGACCAAAGACAAAUUGACAGAUUUAAAUUUUGACCAGAGAAUGGCACUAGCUCACCAAAAUUAUUAAAAUUCAUCAAAGUCUGGAUCAGAUUUCACUGAGACCCAUCGAGUCUGAGCAUCAUCUGUAAAAUUCCUGGUGGUGUCAAGGAAAAAAGUCAUUGCCAAAGGAUUGCCAAAGCCAGGAGGACGACCAUGUGCAUUUCUCUUUCUGUCAAUGCCAACAGCCUCCUGUGAGAAGUGCUGGAGUGCCCACCUACCUCUGCCUGUCUG
Long non-coding RNA from Acanthopagrus latus (yellowfin seabream), 2334 nucleotides. RefSeq lists it as uncharacterized. The transcript has 3 exons. NCBI's taxonomy places the organism in Eukaryota, Metazoa, Chordata, Actinopteri, Spariformes, Sparidae. The record is from RefSeq and is a predicted model, not a curated record.